Molecule: long non-coding RNA, 751 nt
Filed under: Androctonus crassicauda
Lineage: Eukaryota; Metazoa; Arthropoda; Arachnida; Scorpiones; Buthidae
Source: RNAcentral
GACGACCCCGGUGACACCGAAUGCUUGGUUCUGAAGGAAGGAGACAUCGUCAACGUAAGAUACAGUUCUUGACUUCUUCCGCUCGGCAGGCAGGAGUGAAGGAGAUGGCAGGAAAUGGCGGAAGUUACGGAUCGAGUGGUAGAAUACCGCCUCGCCAUUUCUCCGUUUACAUCCUGCCGGGUCCGCUGUUAAAAAAAGAAAUAUUUUUUUUUUUUUUUAUUGGCAGGUUGGCGCGAUAGAUCGUGUUUUGGCAGGGUGUACGGUUGUGUAGUUGAAUCCGGUGUUUCGGGUUGUAGAAUUACUGAUGAUCACGUGAUGUAAAUUUAAUCAAAAGGCAUCCAAUGAGAAUCGCUUGAUGUAACCCUCGAAUAUCUUAUUUAAAUUUCGAAAUCGCGUAUUGCCGUCGAGUGAAAUACUAUUCAACAUAAAUUUUAUAUUCAUAAUCGGAACAAAAUAAUACUCCGAUUAUUUUUGAUGACUGAUAUAAGGAAAUUAUUUUGGAUUAAAUCACGCGAUUUUUAGAAAUUACGGUAUUCGAUAUUCUAAAAGAAGCUAACUCGAUUUAAUCACGCCGUGAAGUCCUAGGUGACUUGAAACUAGAUUAUAGCUCUUCGAAAGCUGCGAUUACGUCACGUGGCAAAAACGGGAUUGAACGCAUUACGGAGUUAUAUUUUUGAUUUAUAUAUCCUUAGGUGCUGGAGCAGAGCUCGGACGGAAGGUGGAAGGGCAUUAUCUUCAACCCGAACCGGAC